Molecule: ribosomal RNA, 492 nt
Filed under: uncultured bacterium
Lineage: Bacteria
Description: partial 16S ribosomal RNA
Rfam family: Bacterial small subunit ribosomal RNA
Source: RNAcentral
AGUGAACGCUGGCGGUAGGCCUAACACAUGCAAGUCGAACAGCAGCACAGUAAGAGCUUGCUCUUACGGGUGGCGAGUGGCGGACGGGUGAGGAAUACAUCGGAAUCUACUUUUUCGUGGGGGAUAACGUAGGGAAACUUACGCUAAUACCGCAUACGACCUACGGGUGAAAGCAGGGGAUCUUCGGACCUUGCGCGAUUGAAUGAGCCGAUGUCGGAUUAGCUAGUUGGCGGGGUAAAGGCCCACCAAGGCGACGAUCCGUAGCUGGUCUGAGAGGAUGAUCCGCCACACUGGAACUGAGACACGGUCCAGACUCCUACGGGAGGCAGCAGUGGGGAAUAUUGGACAAUGGGCGCAAGCCUGAUCCAGCCAUACCGCGUGGGUGAAGAAGGCCUUCGGGUUGUAAAGCCCUUUUGUUGGGAAAGAAAAGCAGCAGGUUAAUACCCCGCUGUUCUGACGGUACCCAAAGAAUAAGCACCGGCUAACUUCGUG